CUCUGGCAGUCACAGGAAGGCUGGCUGGUCCCAGAAAUCACAGCCCAAGGUGCCCCAGCUCUGCCGGUCACUGGUGGGCCGGCCAGGCACCAGGAGUUCAACCCGGAGAGCACCGGCUCUGGCAGUCACAGACAGGCUGGGUGGUCUUGGGGAGCACAACCCAGGGUGCCAGCUCUGGCAGUCACAGGUGGCUGCCCUGCUCAGCAGGUGCUCCAGAACCUGCCUGGCAUUAGAACCCAGAGGGCUGGCCUCCACAAAGCAGCUCUCUCAUAAUGGCUGCCUCCUCUGCAGCUGAAGACAAGAGCUGCCCUCCACCUGGUGGCUCAUUCCCAGCCCCAGGGCACUGUUUAAGAUCUCUUGCUUGCCCAAGGUGAUUUCCACCAAGUGCCCGGAUUUAUCCUCCCAAAAAGAAAAA
Molecule: long non-coding RNA, 415 nt
Organism: Otolemur garnettii (small-eared galago)
Lineage: Eukaryota; Metazoa; Chordata; Mammalia; Primates; Galagidae
Exons: 2
Source: RefSeq, a predicted model, not a curated record